RNAcentral lists this transfer RNA (75 nucleotides) under Scleropages formosus (Asian bonytongue). Its description in RNAcentral is "tRNA-Ala". Lineage: Eukaryota; Metazoa; Chordata; Actinopteri; Osteoglossiformes; Osteoglossidae. The record is from RNAcentral.
GUCAGCAGGUGGAGCAGUGGUUAACGCUGUCUCCUGGCACUUGAUGGACGUGGGUUCAGUUCCCACGUGCUGCUG